Molecule: long non-coding RNA, 474 nt
Organism: Hippocampus comes (tiger tail seahorse)
Lineage: Eukaryota; Metazoa; Chordata; Actinopteri; Syngnathiformes; Syngnathidae
Exons: 3
Source: RefSeq, a predicted model, not a curated record
CAAUCAUUUGGCCCGUUUCUCAGACACACGUUGAGUAAUGAGCUAAGACCGUUUUGUAUUUGAAGCGAGCACCCCCCCAAAAAAUGUGUUCAAUCAUGACAAAGUGUUUGUGAGAGAACGCAGCUGUUCCGAGGCCCCAAAUGAAACACGGGCAAUCGUUUAUCUCCAAAAUGAGUGGAACAGACGACCCUUAAGUAUGGAAGAACUCGAUUGGUGACAGACCGAGGCGACUUAAUGUUGCCUCUUUUCAUGCCGCACAUUGAAUUAACAGAGGAAGCCCAUUUGCAGCCGUCCGGGUGUUCCUGCUGCUCUGUUCUGGCACACGUUCCGAAGUUCCCAGGCCUGCAGCCGGGAGGAGAUGUGGGCUACCUGGACCGCACAGGCCUCAAUCAAGCGCGCAUGUCGGCAAGACGAGCGAAGGUGGCGCCAAAUGCCGUUGCUGGGACUGACCGUGUUGAUCUUCUCCUUCAGCGU